This 441-nucleotide ribosomal RNA is filed under the name uncultured bacterium. Its description in RNAcentral is "partial 16S ribosomal RNA". It matches the Rfam family "Bacterial small subunit ribosomal RNA", at positions 338 to 795 of the family's 1533-position model. The record is from RNAcentral.
CCUACGGGUGGCAGCAGUGGGGGAUAUUGCACAAUGGGGGGAACCCUGAUGCAGCGACGCCGCGUGGGUGAAGGAGCGUUUCGGCGCGUAAAGCCCUAUCGGCAGGGAAGAAGGAGGACGGUACCUGACUAAGAAGCCCCGGCUAACUACGUGCCAGCAGCCGCGGUAAUACGUAGGGGGCAAGCGUUAUCCGGAUUUACUGGGUGUAAAGGGGGCGCAGACGGCAGCGCAAGCCAGGAGUGAAAGCCCGGGGCCCAACCCCGGGACUGCUCUUGGAACUGCGCGGCUGGAGUGCAGGAGGGGCAGGCGGAAUUCCAGGUGUAGCGGUGAAAUGCGUAGAUAUCACGAAGAACUCCGAUUGCGAAGGCAGCUCACUGGACUGCAACUGACACUGAGGCUCGAAAGUGUGGGUAGCAAACAGGAUUAGAUACCCCAGUAGUC